RNAcentral lists this ribosomal RNA (1594 nucleotides) under Apolitonotus lynni. Its description in RNAcentral is "SSU rRNA". It matches the Rfam family "Eukaryotic small subunit ribosomal RNA". Lineage: Eukaryota; Ciliophora; Litostomatea; Pleurostomatida; Protolitonotidae. The record is from RNAcentral.
UAACCUGGUUGAUCCUGCCAGUAGUCAUAUGCUUGUCUCAAAGAUUAAGCCAUGCAUGUCUAAGUAUAAAUACUACACAGUAAAACUGCGAAUGGCUCAUUAAAACAGUUAUAGUUUAUUUGAUACAUUAAAUGGAUAACUGUAGAAAAACUAGAGCUAAUACAUGCCAAGACCGUAAGGUUGUAUUUAUUAGAUAUACCAAGAUGGUGAAUCAUAAUAACUUAGCAAAUCGGAGCAACGCUUCGAUAAAUCAUUCAAGUUUCUGACCUAUCAUGCUUUCGAUGGUAGUGUAUUGGACUACCAUGGCAGUCACGGGUAACGGAGAAUUAGGGUUCGAUUCCGGAGAAGGAGCCUGAGAAACGGCUACUACAUCUACGGAAGGCAGCAGGCGCGUAAAUUACCCAAUCCUAAAUCAGGGAGGUAGUGACAAGAUAUAACAACGCAACCAAAAAUUGCGAUUGUAGUGAGGGUUUUCUAAAACUAGCUUCGAGUACGAUUGGAGGGCAAGUCUGGUGCCAGCAGCCGCGGUAAUUCCAGCUCCAAUAGCGUAUAUUAAAGUUGUUGCAGUUAAAAAGCUCGUAGUUGGAUUUCAAGAGUCGCACCUGGGACAACUGGCGUGCUCUCUACGGCCUUUGGCUGUUACUGUGAGAAAAUUAGAGUGUUUCAAGCAGGCUAUUGCAGGAAUACAUUAGCAUGGAAUAACGAUGUGUCUGGAAUUGGGUAAAUUCUAGAUUACGUUUAAUAGGGACAGUUGGGGGCAUUAGUAUUUAAUAGUCAGAGGUGAAAUUCUUGGAUUUGUUAAAGACUAACGUAUGCGAAAGCAUUUGCCAAGGAUGUUUUCAUUAAUCAAGAACUAAAGAUAGGGGAUCAAAGACGAUCAGAUACCGUCGUAGUCCUAUCUAUAAACUAUGCCGACUAGGGAUUGGAGCGGGAAAGCACCGCUUCAGUACCUUAUGAGAAAUCAAAGUCUUUGGGUUCUGGGGGGAGUAUGGUCGCAAGACUGAAACUUAAAGAAAUUGACGGAAGGGCACCACCAGGAGUGGAGCCUGCGGCUUAAUUUGACUCAACACGGGGAAACUUACCAGGUCCAGACAUGACAAGGAUUGACAGAUUGAUAGCUCUUUCUUGAUUUUAUGGGUGGUGGUGCAUGGCCGUUCUUAGUUGGUGGAGUGAUUUGUCUGGUUAAUUCCGAUAACGAACGAGACCUUAACCUGCUAACUAGUCACUACUAUUUCAUAGGAGUAGACUUCUUAGAGGGACUAUGUUACGAUGAGUACAUGGAAGUUUGAGGCAAUAACAGGUCUGUGAUGCCCUUAUAUGUCCUGGGCUGCACGCGUGCUACACUGAUGCAUACAACAAGUUCCUAGCCCGUCAGGGUGUGGUAAUCUCGAAUAUGCAUCGUGAUGGGGAUAGAACUUUGCAAUUAUAGUUCUUGAACGAGGAAUUCCUAGUAAAUGUAAGUCAUCAUCUUACAUUGAUUAUGUCCCUGCCCUUUGUACACACCGCCCGUCGCUCCUACCAAACCGGUUGAUGUGGUGAACAAUUUGGACUCUUCGGAGGAAGACUUGUAAACCUUAUCAAUACGAGGAAGAGA